RNAcentral lists this ribosomal RNA (490 nucleotides) under uncultured bacterium. RNAcentral's name for it is "partial 16S ribosomal RNA". It matches the Rfam family "Bacterial small subunit ribosomal RNA", at positions 29 to 506 of the family's 1533-position model. The record is from RNAcentral.
GUGAACGCUGGCGAUAGGCCUAACACAUGCAAGUCGAACGGCAGCACAGUAAGAGCUUGCUCUUACGGGUGGCGAGUGGCGGACGGGUGAGGAAUACAUCGGAAUCUACUUUUUCGUGGGGGAUAACGUAGGGAAACUUACGCUAAUACCGCAUACGACCUACGGGUGAAAGCAGGGGAUCUUCGGACCUUGCGCGAUUGAAUGAGCCGAUGUCGGAUUAGCUAGUUGGCGGGGUAAAGGCCCACCAAGGCGACGAUCCGUAGCUGGUCUGAGAGGAUGAUCAGCCACACUGGAACUGAGACACGGUCCAGACUCCUACGGGAGGCAGCAGUGGGGAAUAUUGGACAAUGGGCGCAAGCCUGAUCCAGCCAUACCGCGUGGGUGAAGAAGGCCUUCGGGUUGUAAAGCCCUUUUGUUGGGAAAGAAAAGCAGCAGGUUAAUACCCCGCUGUUCUGACGGUACCCAAAGAAUAAGCACCGGCUAACUUCGU